Molecule: ribosomal RNA, 434 nt
Filed under: uncultured bacterium
Lineage: Bacteria
Description: partial 16S ribosomal RNA
Rfam family: Bacterial small subunit ribosomal RNA
Source: RNAcentral
AGCGAACGCUGGCGGCAGGCUUAACACAUGCAAGUCGAGCGGGCACUUUCGGGUGCCCGCGGCGGACGGGUGAGUAACGCGUGGGAACGUGCCCUCUGGUUCGGAAUAACUCAGGGAAACUUGAGCUAAUACCGGAUACGCCCUUUUGGGGAAAGGCUUGCUGCCGGAGGAUCGGCCCGCGUCUGAUUAGCUAGUUGGUGAGGUAACGGCUCACCAAGGCGACGAUCAGUAGCUGGUCUGAGAGGAUGAUCAGCCACACUGGGACUGAGACACGGCCCAGACUCCUACGGGAGGCAGCAGUGGGGAAUAUUGGACAAUGGGCGCAAGCCUGAUCCAGCCAUGCCGCGUGAGUGAUGAAGGCCUUAGGGUUGUAAAGCUCUUUUAUCCGGGACGAUAAUGACGGUACCGGAGGAAUAAGCCCCGGCUAACUUCGU